This 203-nucleotide long non-coding RNA is filed under the name Olea europaea subsp. europaea. The record is from RNAcentral. Lineage: Eukaryota; Viridiplantae; Streptophyta; Magnoliopsida; Lamiales; Oleaceae.
UAACCAAAGGCCCAAAUCCAAUCCCACGGAACAGUGAAACUUCAUAGGGUCUUUCUAUCGAGGUGCAGGUAGUCCGCCUCUUCACAGACAUGCCUAUUUCACCGAGCCUCUCUCCGAAACAGUGCCCAGAUCGUUACGCCUUUCGUGCGGGUCUGAACUUACCCGACAAGAAAUUUCCACAUUCUUUAAAAAAAUAAUUUUCU